RNAcentral lists this non-coding RNA (30 nucleotides) under Rattus norvegicus (Norway rat). Lineage: Eukaryota; Metazoa; Chordata; Mammalia; Rodentia; Muridae. The record is from RNAcentral.
UCCCCUAUCACAUGAUUAAAGAAAAGACUU